RNAcentral lists this ribosomal RNA (254 nucleotides) under uncultured bacterium. Its description in RNAcentral is "partial 16S ribosomal RNA". It matches the Rfam family "Bacterial small subunit ribosomal RNA", at positions 524 to 777 of the family's 1533-position model. The record is from RNAcentral.
UACGAAGGGGGCUAGCGUUGCUCGGAAUCACUGGGCGUAAAGGGUGCGUAGGCGGGUCUUUAAGUCAGGGGUGAAAUCCUGGAGCUCAACUCCAGAACUGCCUUUGAUACUGAGGAUCUUGAGUUCGGGAGAGGUGAGUGGAACUGCGAGUGUAGAGGUGAAAUUCGUAGAUAUUCGCAAGAACACCAGUGGCGAAGGCGGCCAACUGGACGAACACUGACGCUGAGACACGAAAGCGUGGGGAGCAAACAGGG